GUAACAGGUUAAGCUGACGAGUGGCGAACGGGUGAGUAAUAUAUCGGAACGUGCCCAGUCGUGGGGGAUAACGUAGCGAAAGCUACGCUAAUACCGCAUACGAUCUACGGAUGAAAGCGGGGGAUCGCAAGACCUCGCGCGAUUGGAGCGGCCGAUAUCAGAUUAGCUAGUUGGUGGGGUAAAAGCUCACCAAGGCGACGAUCUGUAGCUGGUCUGAGAGGACGACCAGCCACACUGGAACUGAGACACGGUCCAGACUCCUACGGGAGGCAGCAGUGGGGAAUUUUGGACAAUGGGCGCAAGCCUGAUCCAGCAAUGCCGCGUGCAGGAUGAAGGCCUUCGGGUUGUAAACUGCUUUUGUACGGAACGAAACGGCGAGCUCUAAUACAGUUUGCUAAUGACGGUACCGUAAGAAUAAGCACCGGCUAACUACGUGCCAGCAGCCGCGGUAAUACGUAGGGUGCGAGCGUUAAUCGGAAUUACUGGGCGUAAAGCGUGCGCAGGCGGUUAUAUAAGACAGAUGUGAAAUCCCCGGGCUCAACCUGGGACCUGCAUUUGUGACUGUAUAGCUAGAGUACGGUAGAGGGGGAUGGAAUUCCGCGUGUAGCAGUGAAAUGCGUAGAUAUGCGGAGGAACACCGAUGGCGAAGGCAAUCCCCUGGACCUGUACUGACGCUCAUGCACGAAAGCGUGGGGAGCAAACANGAUUAGAUACCCUGNUAGUCCACGCCCUAAACGAUGUCAACUGGUUGUUGGGUCUUCACUGACUCANUAACGAAGCUAACGCGUGAAGUUGACUGCCUGGGGAGUACGGCCGCNNGNUGAAACUCAANGAAUUGACNGGGANCCGCACAGCGGUGGAUGAUGUGGUUUAAU
RNAcentral lists this ribosomal RNA (875 nucleotides) under uncultured bacterium. RNAcentral's name for it is "bacterial SSU rRNA". It matches the Rfam family "Bacterial small subunit ribosomal RNA", at positions 75 to 950 of the family's 1533-position model. The record is from RNAcentral.